CCUACGGGAGGCAGCAGUGGGGAAUAUUGGGCAAUUGGCGCAAGCCUGACCCAGCAACGCCGCGUGAAGGAAGAAGGCUUUCGGGUUGUAAACUUCUUUUAAGGGGGAAGAGCAGAAGACGGUACCCCUUGAAUAAGCCACGGCUAACUACGUGCCAGCAGCCGCGGUAAUACGUAGGUGGCAAGCGUUGUCCGGAUUUACUGGGUGUAAAGGGCGUGCAGCCGGAGAGACAAGUCAGAUGUGAAAUCCACGGGCGCAACCCGUGAACUGCAUUUGAAACUGUUUCCCUUGAGUGUCGGAGAGGUAAUCGGAAUUCCUUGUGUAGCGGUGAAAUGCGUAGAUAUAAGGAAGAACACCAGUGGCGAAGGCGGAUUACUGGACGAUAACUGACGGUGAGGCGCGAAAGCGUGGGGAGCAAACAGGAUUAGAUACCCCAGUAGUC
This 442-nucleotide ribosomal RNA is filed under the name uncultured bacterium. Its description in RNAcentral is "partial 16S ribosomal RNA". It matches the Rfam family "Bacterial small subunit ribosomal RNA", at positions 338 to 795 of the family's 1533-position model. The record is from RNAcentral.